UACGUAGGGUGCAAGCGUUGUCCGGAAUUAUUGGGCGUAAAGAGCUCGUAGGCGGUUUGUCACGUCUGCUGUGAAAAUCCAAGGCUCAACCUUGGACUUGCAGUGGGUACGGGCAGGCUAGAGUGCGGUAGGGGAGAUGGGAAUUCCUGGUGUAGCGGUGGAAUGCGCAGAUAUCAGGAGGAACACCAAUGGCGAAGGCACAUCUCUGGGCCGUAACUGACGCUGAGGAGCGAAAGCGUGGGGAGCGAACAGGAUUAGAUACCCUGGUAGUCCACGCCGUAAACGGUGGGUGCUAGCUGUGGGCCACAUUCCACGUGGUCCGUGACGAAGUUAACACAUUAAGCACCCCGCCUGGGGAGUACGGCCGCAAGGCUAAAACUCAAAGGAAUUGACGGGGGCCCGCACAAGCGGCGGAGCAUGCGGAUUAAUUCGAUGCAACGCGAAGAACCUUACCAAGGCUUGACAUAUAGAGGAAAAGUGCAGAAAUGCACUCCCCGCAAGGUCUCUAUACAGGUGGUGCAUGGUUGUCGUCAGCUCGUGUCGUGAGAUGUUGGGUUAAGUCCCGCAACGAGCGCAACCCUCGUCCUAUGUUGCCAGCACGUAAUGGUGGGAACUCAUGGGAUACUGCCGGGGUCAACUCGGAGGAAGGUGGGGAUGACGUCAAAUCAUCAUGCCCCUUAUGUCUUGGGCUUCACGCAUGCUACAAUGGCCGGUACAGAGGGCUGCAAUACCGCAAGGUGGAGCGAAUCCCAAAAAGCCGGUCUCAGUUCGGAUUGAGGUCUGCAACUCGACCUCAUGAAGUCGGAGUCGCUAGUAAUCGUAGAUCAGCAACGCUACGGUGAAUACGUUCCCGGGCCU
RNAcentral lists this ribosomal RNA (858 nucleotides) under uncultured bacterium. RNAcentral's name for it is "SSU rRNA". It matches the Rfam family "Bacterial small subunit ribosomal RNA", at positions 524 to 1381 of the family's 1533-position model. The record is from RNAcentral.